GACGAACGCUGGCGGCGUGCUUAACACAUGCAAGUCGAACGGAAAGGCCCUGCUCUUGUGGGGUGCUCGAGUGGCGAACGGGUGAGUAACACGUGAGUAACCUGCCCUUGACUUUGGGAUAACUUCAGGAAACUGGGGCUAAUACCGGAUAGGAGCUCCUGCUGCAUGGUGGGGGUUGGAAAGUUUCGGCGGUUGGGGAUGGACUCGCGGCUUAUCAGCUUGUUGGUGGGGUAGUGGCUUACCAAGGCUUUGACGGGUAGCCGGCCUGAGAGGGUGACCGGCCACAUUGGGACUGAGGUACGGCGCAGACUCCUACGGGAGGCAGCAGUGGGGAGUAUUGCACAAUGGGCGGAAGCCUGAUGCAGCAACGCCGCGUGCGGGAUGACGGCCUUCGGGUUGUAAACCGCUUUCGCCUGUGACGAGGCGUGAGUGACGGUAAUGGGUAAAGAAGCACCGGCUAACUACGUG
This 468-nucleotide ribosomal RNA is filed under the name uncultured bacterium. RNAcentral's name for it is "partial 16S ribosomal RNA". It matches the Rfam family "Bacterial small subunit ribosomal RNA", at positions 28 to 507 of the family's 1533-position model. The record is from RNAcentral.